AAAACCCGUCUAUGUCAAAACGUCAGAAUUUUCGUUCAUCGGUUCAUUCAACUUGAUCGUUAGAUCAAGUCAGUUAUGGGCUCAUGGCGGUUUGCUGUCAAAAGUUAAGCUUUUUUUUCUUCGAAAAUUCCCUAUUCGAGUGAUUUCGUCUGUAAAUUGUCGGGUGAUGUGUUCUAUUCGGUGUAUAUGUUGGAUAAACUUAAUGUUUCUCAUCAACUUAGAGGAGAAAACGUGUUGAAAGGGUUGUGUAGCUUACUGCUGUCAACCAUUUUGUUCAAAAUCAUUGUAUUCUACUGAAUGUGCCAUCAAAAUGAAACAGGUUCUUCAUUACAGGAUUCUAACACCUUGGCAUGACAGGAUUGACAGAUUUGAUGAGAAGGAGGCAUUCACAUAGUACAGGUUUCUAAAUUGGCAUGUCGUUUGAAGAAAAAGGACAAGGACUAUACAGUCAACAAGAUUCCUUGUUUGCUAACCCAAUGGCUGCUACCCUUGAAUCUCCCUGUUAACUUCCUUACAUGGGUUCUUUUGAUUUGAGGGUAACUCUUUCGCUACGGAUCACAUCAACUGUUGUAAACUGACGAGAGAAUGCUGCAAUUCAAGACUGAUACAUUGUGUAGUUAUUAGAUAAAUGACAAGUGCAUAUCUGGGCUCCCUUCUUUUCUGUGGCCCCGUUUCCCUAACUAACCACUAACCAACGCCCGCCGGUGGUCACUCACCCGCUGUGAAACCAGGAGGAGGGGAGGGCUCUGGUCGAACGGGGACUUGGAAGGCACAUGAUCCGAUGAAAACUUUUGGAGGGUCAUGAGUCUAACCCCGGAUUCCUAGUAUGAGUACAUCUCCCCGGAAAAACUUGCCUCGUACUUCUCUCUUCUUCUCGGUCCAGAUACUAUCUCUGGGGGCCGUAGACAAAACCUAUAACAGCAUGUGCGAGUUAAAACAAUGCAUCCACUACCCAAUGAAACAAAUAGCCAUGGUUUAUAUUUUGUGGAAAUCUCCGUCAGU
This is a long non-coding RNA of Daphnia pulicaria, 1002 nucleotides long. RefSeq lists it as uncharacterized. Lineage: Eukaryota; Metazoa; Arthropoda; Branchiopoda; Diplostraca; Daphniidae. The record is from RefSeq and is a predicted model, not a curated record. The transcript is spliced from 3 exons.